GAUGAACGCUGGCGGCGUGCCUAAUACAUGCCAGUCGAGCGAACAGAUGAGGAGCUUGCUCCUCUGACGUUAGCGGCGGACGGGUGAGUAACACGUGGAUAACCUACCUAUAAGACUGGGAUAACUUCGGGAAACCGGAGCUAAUACCGGAUAAUAUAUUGAACCGCAUGGUUCAAUAGUGAAAGACGGUCUUGCUGUCACUUAUAGAUGGAUCCGCGCCGCAUUAGCUAGUUGGUAAGGUAACGGCUUACCAAGGCAACGAUGCGUAGCCGACCUGAGAGGGUGAUCGGCCACACUGGAACUGAGACACGGUCCAGACUCCUACGGGAGGCAGCAGUAGGGAAUCUUCCGCAAUGGGCGAAAGCCUGACGGAGCAACGCCGCGCGAGUGAUGAAGGUCUUCGGAUCGUAAAACUCUGUUAUUAGGGAAGAACAAAUGUGUAAGUAACUGUGCACAUCUUGACGGUACCUAAUCAGAAAGCCACGGCUAACUACGUG
This 497-nucleotide ribosomal RNA is filed under the name uncultured bacterium. RNAcentral describes it as "partial 16S ribosomal RNA". It matches the Rfam family "Bacterial small subunit ribosomal RNA", at positions 28 to 507 of the family's 1533-position model. The record is from RNAcentral.